Molecule: unclassified non-coding RNA, 350 nt
Filed under: soil metagenome
Description: partial contains 5.8S ribosomal RNA, internal transcribed spacer 2, and large subunit ribosomal RNA
Rfam family: 5.8S ribosomal RNA (bases 1-120)
Source: RNAcentral
GAUGAAGAACGUAGCGAACUGCGAUAAGUAAUGUGAAUUGCAGAAUUCAGUGAAUCAUCGAGUCUUUGAACGCACAUUGCGCCCCCUGGCAUUCCGGGGGGCAUGCCUGUCCGAGCGUCAUUGCUGCCCUUCAAGCCCGGCUUGUGUGUUGGGUCGUCGUCCCCCCCGGGGGACGGGCCCGAAAGGCAGCGGCGGCACCGCGUCCGGUCCUCGAGCGUAUGGGGCUUUGUCGCCCGCUCGAUUAGGGCCGGCCGGGCGCCAGCCGGCGUCUCCAACCUUCUAUUUUACCAGGUUGACCUCGGAUCAGGUAGGGAUACCCGCUGAACUUAAGCAUAUCAAUAAGCGGAGGA